This 402-nucleotide ribosomal RNA is filed under the name uncultured microorganism. RNAcentral's name for it is "bacterial SSU rRNA". It matches the Rfam family "Archaeal small subunit ribosomal RNA", at positions 330 to 734 of the family's 1478-position model. The record is from RNAcentral.
GCGCAGCAGGCGCGAAACCUCCGCAAUACACGAAAGUGUGACGGGGCCAUCCCGAGUGCCGUCCGCUGAGGACGGCUUUUCCCCAGUGUACACAGCUGGGGGAAUAAGGAGAGGGCAAGCCUGGUGUCAGCCGCCGCGGUAAUACCAGCUCUCCGAGUGGUGGGGACGCUUAUUGGGCCUAAAGCAUCCGUAGCCGGCUGGGCAAGUCCUCCGUUAAAUCCAACGAUUCAAUCGUUGGGCUGCGGGGGAUACUGUCCAGCUUGGGGGCGGGAGAGGCCGACGGUAUUCCCGGGGUAGGGGUGAAAUCCUAUAAUCCCGGGAGGACCACUAGUGGCGAAGGCUGUCGGCUAGAACGCGCCCGACGGUGAGGGAUGAAAGCUGGGGGAGCGAACCGGAUUAGAU